RNAcentral lists this ribosomal RNA (199 nucleotides) under uncultured bacterium. RNAcentral describes it as "partial 16S ribosomal RNA". It matches the Rfam family "Bacterial small subunit ribosomal RNA", at positions 328 to 539 of the family's 1533-position model. The record is from RNAcentral.
ACGCUCGACACCUACGAGAGGCAGCAGUUGGGAAUAUUGGACAAUGGAGGAAACUCUGAUCCAGUGACGCCGCGUGAAGGAAGAAGGUCUUCGGAUUGUAAACUUAUUUUGUCAGGGAAGAAAAAUGACUGUACCUGAAGAAAAAGCACCGGCUAACUACGUGUCAGCAGCCGCGGUAAUCUGAGCGGGCUGGCAAGGC